This 360-nucleotide ribosomal RNA is filed under the name uncultured bacterium. RNAcentral's name for it is "bacterial SSU rRNA". It matches the Rfam family "Bacterial small subunit ribosomal RNA", at positions 70 to 422 of the family's 1533-position model. The record is from RNAcentral.
CUUUGGGAGCUUGCUCCCGAAGGUUAGCGGCGGACGGGUGAGUAACACGUGGGCAACCUGCCUAUAAGACUGGGAUAACUUCGGGAAACCGGAGCUAAUACCGGAUAAUUCUUUUCUACACAUGUAGAAAAGCUAAAAGACGGUUUACGCUGUCACUUAUAGAUGGGCCCGCGGCGCAUUAGCUAGUUGGUGAGGUAACGGCUCACCAAGGCCACGAUGCGUAGCCGACCUGAGAGGGUGAUCGGCCACACUGGGACUGAGACACGGCCCAGACUCCUACGGGAGGCAGCAGUAGGGAAUCUUCCGCAAUGGACGAAAGUCUGACGGAGCAACGCCGCGUGAGUGAUGAAGGUUUUCGGA